Long non-coding RNA from Dreissena polymorpha, 2525 nucleotides. RefSeq lists it as uncharacterized. Lineage: Eukaryota; Metazoa; Mollusca; Bivalvia; Myida; Dreissenidae. The record is from RefSeq and is a predicted model, not a curated record. The transcript has 3 exons.
ACAAAAAUUCCACUCGUCCGCUCGUAUUGACGAGUGAAAUCUUGAAAGGACGAGUGAAUUUCCCUAAAGCUCUCGUCCUACAGGACGAGUGAAAAAAAACUGGUGUUAAAAUAUGUAUUUUCUGACCAGUAAGACUCUUUUUCAUUAAAUAAAAUCAUUUCUUAAAGCAUAUCUAUUCCGAAAGUAGAACGCGAAUGAACCGGAAAUCGUAAUUGUAAAUUUCAUACAGCAGGUGCGCGUUGUUAUGCGAGACUGUGUCCCGGAGUAAAUAUUGGCUUUUUGGUGUAAACUUUGCGCGUUCAUGUUGACAGGGAACCAUCUGACUUCAUUCACUGUAAGUAUUGAUUUUUUUUAAGAAUUAUUUUACUGCGAAGUACCGUUUUCAACCAGUCUGAAUUUCAUCUGAAAAAUGUAUGACAUACGAGCGUUCUUUAAAGGGGGCAGGAGCGAUACAUUGUAUUCAACCAUCCGAAAUGGAAAGCACGCAAGCAUUAGAAAAAGGAAAAAACAAAUUUGUCUUCAUUUAUUUAUUUUGUGUUCCUCAUAAAUAAAGUAAGUUAACAUUUCUUCUGUGAUCAGCUGUCAUGAAUAACUAAGUAAGCAGCAUUUUAGCAGUGAUAUAGGAAACAUUGUUAGUCAUAUCAGUCCUUUGCAAUCUUUCUUUCACACAUAUUUGAAGGACAAGUGCAUGUGUUUGCAGGACGAGUGAAAAUUUUAAUGCACUUGUCCUGCAGGACGAGUGCAAUUUAUAAAUAUUUUUGUCCCCUGUAUCCUAAUAAAACAAUUCGGUGUCUUUUUAAAAAUAACACAAUAAAACAAAAAUCUAAACAUUUUUAAUAAACAAAAAACCCAUCAUGAUAUGGAUAUGUCAUUUGCAUUUAAUAAAAAUAUUUUCAAUAUUAUAUAUGAAUAGCCACCGGGUUCACUGUCAGACGGUUGAAAAUCAAUAUGAAAUAAAUGCUCAUUUUUACAACGGAUUUUUCAUCCCCUCCCUAUAUAAUAUGUAUAAGAAACGUUUCUGAUAGUCAGUCUGCCGUUAACUCAUUUAUUUUGAUUACGCCAUUUCUCUCUAAAGUUUUUAUGAUUGUAUUAACGUUUUACAAAGCAGUUUAGGUUAGUGUGCGGCUUUAAUAAUUUAUUUUAUAGAAAAGAGCAUAAUACAUCAUUACAUAUAUAGAAUUUCCCUCACGUAAUCCGCUAUAAUUGCGAUCUGCUUGUCAGAGUUUUCUAAUCACUAGACCACGUGACUAUGUGGGCGGAGCGAUCGAUAAUUUGGCGACUGGUCAAUUGAAUAUUGAGCUAAAUUAAAUUAACAUUGAGACUUAUAAUUGUUCUGUAAAAUGUAUUGAAAUACUGUCAGCAUGAAGUUUUGUGUGAUGAAAACAAUGUGUUUUUUACUACAAUUUGGAAAUCAUCAGUUUGUUGGAAAAGAGGUUCAACUGUUGUUGUUUUUUUGGAAUACUGUAGAACAGUUUUAACAGGUUUGUAUUGUCAUUUCUUCAUCCUUUUUUUUAUUUAGUUUAUUGAAUUAAUUAUGAUCACUAGUAUAUUUAUGUAUUGUCACUGGGAAAUGUAAAUUGAUAAGUUAAUGUAUCGCAAUUUAAAGGAAAAACAACACAAUUUGAAGCAAAUAUAGAUAAACAUACACAUGACAAAGUGUAAAUGUUGUGUACAGUGAAUUGUUGGGGUUGUGUUUUAUGAUUAUUGUCAUCUUUAUUGUUAUUUAUUGAUAUUUCUGGUUAUUACUGAACAGAUUUCUUUCCCUCAUAUUUUAAUGUUGAAGGUUAAACUCUUGCCCCAAGAGCAAAAGGGGUUAUCAUACUACCUGAUGUAUGGACUUUUAAACCAGGCUUUUACCCUGCAGAGCUGGCCAACUUGAGGGGAACUGAAGUGGGCAAACCUCGCCCUGUCCUUGAACAAGAAAGCUGGAUUUGUUGAGAGAGUAUCAUUAAAGCUGAAAUCCAGCAUGAAACCAGGGAGGUGAAGGCCAUCGCACAGGCCAUGUGCCAACUAUUCACUCCCCACCAGCUUGUGACUUGCUCCAUGAAGGGAGCAACAACUACAACGGGGUCACCAAGACCAAGCCUCCCUGCUGCUGAGAGAAAUGCAAUCAUUGAUGUCAUAGCCAAAACCUUUGACAAGCCUCUGGUGGAUGUUAAAGAAAAGAUGAGAGGUUGUUUAAGGCGUCUGCGGCUGAUGCACAAGUAGACUGAAGUCUUUGUAAAUAAAAUGUGCUGUUAAAAUGAUUAUUUAACCAUUGUUUUCACUUUGUUAUAUAGAUUUGCACCUGUUGCAACAUCAUUAACUUAUUUUUGUGCUCCCGAUAGGGUCUCAUAUAGCAGUUGAACUGUCCGUCUGUCUGUCUAUCCGUCCGAAAACUUUAGCAUUGGUCAUAACUUUUGCAAUAUUGAAGAAAGCAACUUGAUAUUUAGCAUGCAUGUGUAUCUCAUUGAGCUGCACAUUUUGAGUGGUGCAAGGUCAAGGUCAUCCUUCAAGGUCAGAGGUCAAUAUCCAAUGGAAGUAAU